CUACGGGGUGCUGCAGUGGGGAAUAUUGCACAAUGGGCGCAAGCCUGAUGCAGCCAUGCCGCGUGUAUGAAGAAGGCCUUCGGGUUGUAAAGUACUUUCAGCGGGGAGGAAGGGAGUAAAGUUAAUACCUUUGCUCAUUGACGUUACCCGCAGAAGAAGCACCGGCUAACUCCGUGCCAGCAGCCGCGGUAAUACGGAGGGUGCAAGCGUUAAUCGGAAUUACUGGGCGUAAAGCGCACGCAGGCGGUUUGUUAAGUCAGAUGUGAAAUCCCCGGGCUCAACCUGGGAACUGCAUCUGAUACUGGCAAGCUUGAGUCUCGUAGAGGGGGGUAGAAUUCCAGGUGUAGCGGUGAGAUGCGUAGAGAUCUGGAGGAAUACCGGUGGCGAAGGCGGCCCCCUGGACGAAGACUGACGCUCAGGUGCGAAAGCGUGGGGAGCAAACAGGAUUAGAUACCCUAGUAGUC
RNAcentral lists this ribosomal RNA (464 nucleotides) under uncultured bacterium. RNAcentral's name for it is "partial 16S ribosomal RNA". It matches the Rfam family "Bacterial small subunit ribosomal RNA", at positions 339 to 795 of the family's 1533-position model. The record is from RNAcentral.